UCUCGAUUGGUCUAGUGGUAAGGAUACCUGCUUGUCAUUGAUAUUCAACGACUUAAUAUUCACGAUAGUGAAGCUUAGUGGUUAUGAAAACAAGCCGCAGGUGGCCGGGGUUCGAUUCCCCGAUCGAGAG
Molecule: non-coding RNA, 130 nt
Organism: Xylaria castorea
Lineage: Eukaryota; Fungi; Ascomycota; Sordariomycetes; Xylariales; Xylariaceae
Source: the annotation of a GenBank genome assembly